RNAcentral lists this ribosomal RNA (431 nucleotides) under uncultured bacterium. RNAcentral's name for it is "partial 16S ribosomal RNA". It matches the Rfam family "Bacterial small subunit ribosomal RNA", at positions 29 to 507 of the family's 1533-position model. The record is from RNAcentral.
AACGAACGCUGGCGGCAGGCCUAACACAUGCAAGUCGAGCGCCCUUUCGGGGGAGCGGCGGACGGGUGAGUAACGCGUGGGAAUAUGCCCUUCUCUACGGAAUAGCCUCGGGAAACUGAGAGUAAUACCGUAUACGCCCUGUGGGGGAAAGAUUUAUCGGGGAAGGAUUAGCCCGCGUUGGAUUAGGUAGUUGGUGGGGUAAUGGCCUACCAAGCCGACGAUCCAUAGCUGGUUUGAGAGGAUGAUCAGCCACACUGGGACUGAGACACGGCCCAGACUCCUACGGGAGGCAGCAGUGGGGAAUCUUAGACAAUGGGGGCAACCCUGAUCUAGCCAUGCCGCGUGAGUGAUGAAGGCCUUAGGGUUGUAAAGCUCUUUCAGCUGGGAAGGUAAUGACGGUACCAGCAGAAGAAGCCCCGGCUAACUCCGUG